Molecule: long non-coding RNA, 357 nt
Filed under: Mytilus galloprovincialis (Mediterranean mussel)
Lineage: Eukaryota; Metazoa; Mollusca; Bivalvia; Mytilida; Mytilidae
Source: RNAcentral
GGAAGUGAUAAAUGCCUGGAGCCUGGAUGCCUAUUUGAAAGCUCUGUACGAUAGAUCACAUGCAGCAUUAGCAUCUCUGUUAAUGAUUGCCUCACAAUCGAACUAAAGCUAACUGAUAAAGAACUGAUAGACAAAAAAAUAAAUUACAACCAAAACAUCAGUUACUAUACAAUUUCUCAUCAUAAAGAAGAAACAUCACCAAUAAUCGACAAAUCAAGGAGGAAAACACAGGCUGGAAAAUUUAAUGUUUAUUUUGUUUUGAAGUUUUCAAGCAAGUCUAAAAUCCAUAAAUUUUCAAAAAGAGCAAUUCAAGGAAGUUAUAAACAUUAAAAGGAAUAUAAUAUUCACUGAUAAAAG